UUUAAAACUUUCUGAAAGAAAGUUGAUAAUUGAAUACUAUCUGUUUUGGAGGCUAUGUAUUGCUGAUUUUGUUCAGGCCAUGACUGUCCAAUAGGUUUGGGGCACCUAUGGAUCUAAAGAAAGAGUGGGAAAGAUUAAUAUUUGAACAAAAGAAGCUAUUCGUUGGGGUACUGAUUAUCUUCUCAAAGCUACUGCUCAUCCAAACACCAUAUAUGUGCAGUUGGGAGUUUUGUCUAUGGCGGCACAAAAACAAAGAGCAAAUCUGGGACUGGACUUGAGUCAGCAAUGGAAUCUGAACAUCUAACAGGUUGGGGGAGUUGAGACUGUUACUCUUGGAGAUGAUGAAGCCCGUGUUAGAGGUUGUCAGAAAAGCAUUCUUGAGAGAAAAGCUCCUCCAACCUUCCAUUUUCUGGUUGAAAUGAGGGAAAGGAAAUAUUGGGUCACGCAUCGGACUGAAAGGAGUGUUGAUAUGUUGCUCCAUGGUAAAAAGCCCUUGGUUGAGGUAAUGAUAUCAAAACCUCUGUACCCAGCACUAUAAGCAUUUACUUUAAACAUAUGGCUAGAAUAGGCUUUUGACAAAUUGUUUGAAAACUAGGAAUGCAGAUUCACCUUGGUUGACCGAUGAGUCAAAACUUGAUCAUGGGUAUAAGUGAAGGUACAGUUACUAAUUGUUGUAUAUUGGUUUCCAUUAAUAAGGAGAUUGAUAAAUCAUAAACAUGCCUUAAACACGGAAGGUUGUCCCUGAACAAA
This is a long non-coding RNA of Magnolia sinica, 750 nucleotides long. RefSeq lists it as uncharacterized. The transcript is spliced from 5 exons. The record is from RefSeq and is a predicted model, not a curated record. Lineage: Eukaryota; Viridiplantae; Streptophyta; Magnoliopsida; Magnoliales; Magnoliaceae.